This 65-nucleotide transfer RNA is filed under the name bovine gut metagenome. It matches the Rfam family "tRNA", at positions 6 to 65 of the family's 71-position model. From Rfam's summary of the family: Transfer RNA (tRNA) molecules are approximately 80 nucleotides in length. Their secondary structure includes four short double-helical elements and three loops (D, anti-codon, and T loops). The record is from RNAcentral.
AGUAGCUCAAUUGGUCAGAGCAGUCGGCUCAUAACCGAUCGGUUGCAGGUUCGAUUCCUGUCUGG